Molecule: ribosomal RNA, 400 nt
Filed under: uncultured bacterium
Lineage: Bacteria
Description: bacterial SSU rRNA
Rfam family: Bacterial small subunit ribosomal RNA
Source: RNAcentral
UCAAGAAUAUUCCACAAUGGGGGAAACCCUGAUGGAGCGACGCCGCGUGUAGGAUGAAGGUCUUCGGAUCGUAAACUACUUUUAUAUGGGACGAAUUCGUGACGGUACCAUAUGAAUAAGAGGUUGCUAACUCUGUGCCAGCAGCAGCGGUAAUACAGAGACCUCAAGCGUUAUCCGGAUUUAUUGGGCGUAAAGCGUCAGUAGGUGGGACAGCGGGUUGGGAGUUAAAACUUCGCGCUCAACGCGAAGAUUGCUUUCAAAACUACUGUUCUUGAGGAUGGGAGAGGUAAGCGGAAUUGCUGGUGUAGUCGUAAUAAGCGUUGAUAUCAGCAAGAACACCAAAUGCGAAGGCAGCUUACUGGAACAUUCCUGACACUGAAUGACUAAAGCGUGGGGAGCA